Molecule: long non-coding RNA, 561 nt
Organism: Neofelis nebulosa (Clouded leopard)
Lineage: Eukaryota; Metazoa; Chordata; Mammalia; Carnivora; Felidae
Exons: 3
Source: RefSeq, a predicted model, not a curated record
ACUGUGUCCUAGAGGAUUCAUAAGGGUGGAAGACCAGGGUGACUAUCACCCUUCAUCCCCAGCUCAGCUAACUACCAUCCUCACUACCAAGCUAUCUUGAAGUUCUCUUCAUUCAUUUAAAUUCUAUUUUGAGUGGAUUUAGUAUAACUGGAGCUGUAGAUGGAGCAGUAGAUGGCUAAUUAUUCUCCAUGACCAAGAAAUGAUCCUUCUGAGUACUCUACCUAACAUCCCAUAAAUCCUGAGGUUUUCCAGCCUGGCUGUUGGGAACAGCUUGACAACUUUUGGCUGCAGUCUUUUUUUCUUAUUAAUUUCAAGCAAACUGAGAACCUUGAGUUUCAAUUUCCUGUCCAGCCCUGAGAUUCAAAGGUAGCUUUGAGCUGAGACUAUUUGUCCAUGGAUCCUCCACGUAAAGUUACCCCACCUUUUAAUUCUGAUUCAUUGCUGAUUCCACCAAAAGAAAUGUCCCAGAAACUUACAUCAACUUCCCAGUCAUCUUUCUCCAAAGUGCAAAACCUGGAUCGUAUUAGCUUUAGCCCCAGUUUUAAUAGCAACUACCUCACC